This 1445-nucleotide unclassified non-coding RNA is filed under the name Bombus terrestris (buff-tailed bumblebee). RNAcentral's name for it is "misc RNA ENSBTSG00005033206.1". Lineage: Eukaryota; Metazoa; Arthropoda; Insecta; Hymenoptera; Apidae. The record is from RNAcentral.
UCUUAUAGUACUUUCUCUGCGAACAGACUAAGAAUUUUAGGGUCUGAUAAUCCCACCCCUGAUAUAAGCAAACAAGCUUUAAUAAAACUGAUAUCAGAGAUAGUGUCUUCAACUUUUACGUAGAACUAUGUAUUUUCAAAGUAACAUGUGAUUAGUGUGUGUAAUCGAAUAGGUAGAAGACGUCGUAGUUUAGAGAGCAAUCCAUUUUACCAAAUUGCGUCGAAUGCAUCUUCGAUGUUAAGGAAGAAUGCUGAACAAUAUUCCUUUUCUUCUGACCAGAGAAUUUGUUGAAUCAUACGAUGAUUUUCCUCAAUGGUAUCGUAUUUUUUUUGAAGGCCGAAUUGAUGGUUUGGUAUUAUGCCCUUGUUGUUGACGAUAGCAGAGAUUCUUUCGUGUAUAAGUUUUCUAUAAAUUUCAUGAUUGCUGACACUCUUCCAGAUUUCUGAAAUUGUUCGCGUUUCCAUCGCAACCUCCAUAUAUAAAUUCUACGCAUUUACCCAUCUCUACAUUGUAUCCGAAUCUCGGGAAAUAACCUCUGCACGUGCCCGUCGCCAAUGGUAAAGUACAAUCUGUUAAUGAUCGAAAAAUCCUUGCUAUUAAAAGCGAAUAUGACAAUUAUAAGACUAGUAAUCGAGAAUGUAAUCUUUAAGUUUAUACGAAUUAUUUUAUAAUAUUGACAAUACACUAUCUCACAGUAAGAAAUUCGUUUCUAUAAAAAUUCGAGAAAAAUUGAAAUUAUUUAAACAACAAAUUUAAAUACAAAUUAUGGCAUAUAAGUACGAAAUAUAACAAUAAAGUUCCUUACGUGAUGGUAUUUCGGCUGACACUUGAUGCACCGAAAGAGCGCAGCAAAGGACGACCAAAAGUAAUGCUAUGAAUUUAUGAUUCAUUGCAACUUGUUGAUUAAUCAGCGCAACUUCUAAUGGCUAUGCUUGUUAAUUCUGGCGUUAUAUAUACGUGUCGAUAACAUUUUUAUCGCUAUAGACCUUUUUAUAUAAUAAGUAUUGAUGACACAUGCGGAAAAAGUGAAGCACUCGAAAGAUUAAAUAUAGAUUGUGGGAACUCAUCUCUGCUAGUGAUAAAGAUAAGUAUGUUUGGUAAUUUAGAAUUUCCGAGGCAGAAUAUGUAAAUCUUUUUAAGCAAAUCCUAAUGGAUAAACAGUUAGAAAAAGACUGACAAUGCAUGUAUAUAAGAAUGAUAAAAGGUAAGUACCUAUGUAUAUAUAUAUGUCUGUAAUUGUCUUAUUACGUAGUAUGUGGAAGUUUGCUUCUUUGAUUCACUUUAGCGUAUAAUAGCCCGUCAAUAUCGGAAAUGUAUAGUAUUCAUAUGUGUAUGCAUGACUGACAUUUCCUGACUAUUCAAACUAACAGUUUCUUUGCUACAAUCGAAUGUUGGAAAGUCCCGAACCGUGAUCAAGAAACGGUCACAAGUGCGUGUGUUCUAUU